UGACCUGGCCUAGUGAGUCUGCUGAUGACCGUACAUCAGAGUGGGUCAGACAAUUCCCCACAUCUGUGCCUGACAAUGUCACAUCACCUGGAGUGCAAUCUUGUGAUGAUUCAGUCCACCCUAUUUCAUGUCCUUCAGAGCCGCAUAUCGUAGAGCAACCGACAACUAGAUUUGGGAGGGUUAUUAAACCAGUUUGCUGGCUUAUUGACUCUAUGGCUCAGAUAGAAAUACUUUUGGACGUAUGAAACAUAAAGUUUUUUUUUACAUGCAUAGGUUUUCUGAAUGCAUGAAAAACUCGUGUUUGACAGAAUUCCUUGUAUUUUUAUUUGUUUUUCUUGGAUGCUUUUCUUUUUUAGUAAGGGAACCUGGAAAUCUGUAUUUUGUGUAGCUAAACGUUAAGGUGUAAAAGGCACCUUAUAAUGUCUGGAGUUUUUAUUUUUGGGAGUGCUAUGACUCUAGCACAUCUCAGGUCUCUAACCUUUCAUUAUGUAGCAUGUUGCUGAUUUGUUUGGCUCAGUUUAUUGAUUCCUCAGACCAAAGUCACGUAUGCUUUUGUAAAUAUAUUUGUAUUUUGUGUAAUUCUAAGGGGGUGAGUGUAACAGGACGUGAUCUGUUCAUUUUAAUUACACAAAAUAUUGACUGUCUCUAAGUUUCUUUCCCCCCUUGUAUUCUGUGUUGGGUUUUGUAGCCCCUCCUUAAUGUGUUCUUCUUCGUGGUUUUCUCUUUAUAAGGUUGGCGCUUUCUUUCCCUCUCUCCUUUUUGUUUUACUGUCCAGCGGGAGAGGUGGGUGUCCUGUAAUGUUAGCCAUAUGAAUCCUCAUUUUAUGUUAAUUAUUGUGCCAUAUACUGUUAUUAUUUGGAAUCUGUUAUGAAAAACAUAAAAACCUUUGUAGAUGUUAACUGUUUAUUUCAGAAUAAGAAUUUCCCGUUCAUGUUCUGUGCUCCCUCUACCUCUCACCCUCAUGUAGGAGCUAAUACGGGAUGCUAACACCGUAAUUUCUAUUUUCUUUUUGGAAAAUUGCCAGAUACGCAAUAAACGGAGGUGGUCUCCAAGGGUG
Non-coding RNA from Oryzias latipes (Japanese medaka), 1057 nucleotides. The record is from RefSeq and is a predicted model, not a curated record. NCBI's taxonomy places the organism in Eukaryota, Metazoa, Chordata, Actinopteri, Beloniformes, Adrianichthyidae.